Aedes aegypti (yellow fever mosquito) is the source of this 253-nucleotide long non-coding RNA. RefSeq lists it as uncharacterized. The record is from RefSeq and is a predicted model, not a curated record. The transcript is spliced from 3 exons. NCBI's taxonomy places the organism in Eukaryota, Metazoa, Arthropoda, Insecta, Diptera, Culicidae.
AAUAACAGUUUAAACCCCCAAAACUAAAACCCUACCGAAUAGAAAAAUCCAGCCAAACGGUAUUAAAUGAACAGGUUUACGAGUGGAACAGAAUUGACCCUUUCAAGACCCGACGUUUUCAUGUUUAUAGAAAACUUGUUUAACUUGUUGUUUUAAAUCGAGCCCUGAAGAAGGUCCCAACAAGGACCGAAACGUUGGCGAAGAUUCUAAAAUAAUCAACGCAAAGGUUCUCUAGACUGAAUAGCCGAAAAAU